Long non-coding RNA from Oncorhynchus keta (chum salmon), 504 nucleotides. RefSeq lists it as uncharacterized. Lineage: Eukaryota; Metazoa; Chordata; Actinopteri; Salmoniformes; Salmonidae. The record is from RefSeq and is a predicted model, not a curated record. The transcript is spliced from 5 exons.
ACACACACACACACACACAAGGUAUAACACACACACACACACACACACACACAAGGUAUAACACACACACACACACACACACACAAGGUAUAACACACACACACACACACACACACACACAAGGUAUAACACACACACACACACACACACACACACACACACACACACAAGGUAUAACACACACACACACACACACACACACAAGGUAUAACACACACACACACACACACACACACACACACAAGGUAUAACACACACACACACACACACACACACAAGGUAUAACACACACACACACACACAAGGUAUAACACACACACACACACACACAAGGUAUAACACACACACACACACACACAAGGUAUAACACACACACACACACACACAAGGUAUAACACACACACACACACACACAAGGUAUAACACACACACACACACACACAAGGUAUAACACACACACACACACACACAAGGUAUAACACACACACACACACACACACACAC